GAUGAACGCUGACAGAAUGCUUAACACAUGCAAGUCUACUUGAAUUUGGGUUUUUUAACUUAGAUUUGGGUGGCGGACGGGUGAGUAACGCGUAAAGAACUUGCCUCACAGCUAGGGACAACAUUUGGAAACGAAUGCUAAUACCUGAUAUUAUGAUUUUAAGGCAUCUUAGAAUUAUGAAAGCUAUACGCGCUGUGAGAGAGCUUUGCGUCCCAUUAGCUAGUUGGAGAGGUAACGGCUCACCAAGGCGAUGAUGGGUAGCCGGCCUGAGAGGGUGAACGGCCACAAGGGGACUGAGACACGGCCCUUACUCCUACGGGAGGCAGCAGUGGGGAAUAUUGGACAAUGGACCGAGAGUCUGAUCCAGCAAUUCUGUGUGCACGAUGACGUUUUUCGGAAUGUAAAGUGCUUUCAGUUGGGAAGAAAAAAAUGACGGUACCAACAGAAGAAGUGACGGC
This 458-nucleotide ribosomal RNA is filed under the name Fusobacterium sp. oral taxon A11. RNAcentral's name for it is "bacterial SSU rRNA". It matches the Rfam family "Bacterial small subunit ribosomal RNA", at positions 28 to 497 of the family's 1533-position model. Lineage: Bacteria; Fusobacteriati; Fusobacteriota; Fusobacteriia; Fusobacteriales; Fusobacteriaceae. The record is from RNAcentral.